Molecule: transfer RNA, 74 nt
Filed under: Candidatus Uhrbacteria bacterium RIFCSPHIGHO2_12_FULL_54_23
Lineage: Bacteria; Candidatus Uhriibacteriota
Also listed under: 2 other names
Description: tRNA-Ile
Rfam family: tRNA
About the family: Transfer RNA (tRNA) molecules are approximately 80 nucleotides in length.
Source: RNAcentral
GGGCGCAUAGCUCAACUGGUUAGAGCAGGCGUCUUAUAAGCGCCAGGUUCAUGGUUCGAGUCCAUGUGCGCCCA